UGGCUUUCUAACAGACAGGUCCCAG
RNAcentral lists this non-coding RNA (25 nucleotides) under Mus musculus (house mouse). The record is from RNAcentral. Lineage: Eukaryota; Metazoa; Chordata; Mammalia; Rodentia; Muridae.